RNAcentral lists this ribosomal RNA (784 nucleotides) under uncultured Neocallimastigales. RNAcentral describes it as "partial large subunit ribosomal RNA". It matches the Rfam family "Eukaryotic large subunit ribosomal RNA", at positions 24 to 647 of the family's 3401-position model. The record is from RNAcentral. Lineage: Eukaryota; Fungi; Neocallimastigomycota; Neocallimastigomycetes; Neocallimastigales.
UAUCUCUGUAGAGUCUGCAUAUCAAUAAGCGGAGGAAAAGAAACUAACUAGGAUUCCCUCAGUAACGGCGAGUGAAGCGGGAAGAGCUCAAAUUUGAAAUCUUCAAGGUUCUACCUUGACGAAUUGUAGUUUAAAGAAGUGUUUUCUGUUGGAGUUUUGGUAAAAGUUCUUUGGAAUAGGACAUCAUAGAGGGUGAGAAUCCCGUAUUUGACCAUUAUUUCCAGCUGUGUGAUACACUUUCAAAGAGUCGGAUUGUUUGGGAAUGCAGUCCAAAAUGGGUGGUAAAUUUCAUCUAAAGCUAAAUAUUGGCGAGAGACCGAUAGCGAACAAGUACCGUGAGGGAAAGAUGAAAAGAACUUUGAAAAGAGAGUUAAACAGUACGUGAAAUUGUCAAAAGGGAAGCGUUUGACUACCAGUGUUGUUUUUCUCGAAAAUCAAUUAUAAAUGGCUGGAUUUGUAGUUGUCAUGACCUUAUAAGCUUUCUGCACUUAUUUUUCUUGUCUUUCUUAAUGCACUUUUCGGUUAACAAGUCAACAUCAAUUUCUUUUGUUGUAAAAGAGUUAAUAGGAAGGUGGCUUUCACUUUCGGUGAAAGUGUUUAUAGCCUUUGACUCUGCAAUCGGAGAGAUUGAGGUCUGCAGCGUAGAUCCUUCGGGGCUAGAUACAUUUGUGCUAAGUUAUAGCUUUUCAUAGACAACAUUGUUGACUAUGAUUUAAGUCAUUGUAGCUUACUCGCUUACUGCUAUUUUACCUACGCUUAGGAUGUUGACGCAUGAGAUAUACGC